GACGAACACUGGCGGCGUGCUUAACACAUGCAAGUCGAACGGAGCGAAUGAAAGCUUGCUUUUAUGAGCUUAGUGGCAAACGGGUGAGUAACACGUAGACAACCUGCCGAUCAGAUGGGGACAACAUUCCGAAAGGAAUGCUAAUACCGAAUGAGGUGUAGGGGAGGCAUCUCCCCUACAUGAAAGAUGGCCUCUAUAUAUAAGCUAUCACUGAUCGAUGGGUCUGCGUCUGAUUAGCUAGUAGGUAAGGUAACGGCUUACCUAGGCGACGAUCAGUAGCCGGUCUGAGAGGAUGAACGGCCACAUUGGGACUGAGACACGGCCCAGACUCCUACGGGAGGCAGCAGUGGGGAAUCUUCCGCAAUGGGCGCAAGCCUGACGGAGCAACGCCGCGUGAGUGAAGAAGGUCUUCGGAUCGUAAAGCUCUGUUGAAGGGGACGAACGUGCAUAACAUGAAUAAGGUUAUGUAAUGACGGUACCUUGA
Molecule: ribosomal RNA, 484 nt
Filed under: Centipeda artemidis
Lineage: Bacteria; Bacillati; Bacillota; Negativicutes; Selenomonadales; Selenomonadaceae
Description: bacterial SSU rRNA
Rfam family: Bacterial small subunit ribosomal RNA
Source: RNAcentral